AUUGAACGCUGGCGGCAUGCUUUACACAUGCAAGUCGAACGGUAACAGGCCUUCGGGUGCUGACGAGUGGCGAACGGGUGAGUAAUGCAUCGGAACGUACCCAGAGGUGGGGGAUAACGCAGCGAAAGCUGUGCUAAUACCGCAUGUGAUCUGAGGAUGAAAGCGGGGGACCGAGCAGCAAUGUUUGGCCUCGCGCCUUUGGAGCGGCCGAUGUCGGAUUAGCUAGUUGGUGGGGUAAAGGCCUACCAAGGCGACGAUCCGUAGCUGGUCUGAGAGGACGACCGGCCACACUGGGACUGAGACACGGCCCAGACUCCUACGGGAGGGAGCAGUGGGGAAUUUUGGACAAUGGGCGCAAGCCUGAUCCAGCAAUGCCGCGUGCGGGAAGAAGGCCUUCGGGUUGUAAACCGCUUUUGGCAGGAACGAAACGGUGUCCGCUAAUACCGGGCGCUAAUGACGGUACCUGCAGAAUAAGCACCGGCUAACUACGUG
Molecule: ribosomal RNA, 492 nt
Filed under: uncultured bacterium
Lineage: Bacteria
Description: partial 16S ribosomal RNA
Rfam family: Bacterial small subunit ribosomal RNA
Source: RNAcentral